AGUGAACGCUGGCGGCAGGCCUAAUACAUGCAAGUCGAACGGCAGCACAGCAGAGCUUGCUCUGUGGGUGGCGAGUGGCGGACGGGUGAGGAAUACAUGGGAAUCUGCCCAGUCGUGGGGGAUAACGUAUGGAAACGUACGCUAAUACCGCAUGCGCCCUACGGGGGAAAGCCGGGGACCUUCGGGCCUGGCGCGAUUGGAUGAGCCCAUGUUCGAUUAGCUAGUUGGCGGGGUAACGGCCCACCAAGGCGACGAUCGAUAGCUGGUCUGAGAGGAUGAUCAGCCACACUGGGACUGAGACACGGCCCAGACUCCUACGGGAGGCAGCAGUGGGGAAUUUUGGACAAUGGGGGCAACCCUGAUCCAGCAACGCCGCGUGAAUGAAGAAGGCCUUAGGGUUGUAAAGUUCUUUUAUCUGUGGACAAAGACUAUAUGUGAAUAGCAUAUGGGGAUGAGAGUAACAGAAGAAU
This 470-nucleotide ribosomal RNA is filed under the name uncultured bacterium. RNAcentral's name for it is "bacterial SSU rRNA". It matches the Rfam family "Bacterial small subunit ribosomal RNA", at positions 29 to 487 of the family's 1533-position model. The record is from RNAcentral.